Molecule: long non-coding RNA, 6345 nt
Filed under: Sus scrofa (pig)
Lineage: Eukaryota; Metazoa; Chordata; Mammalia; Artiodactyla; Suidae
Description: lncRNA (ENSSSCG00040021493.1)
Source: RNAcentral
GAUACAUUCUAUUUUUAAACCUCAUCAAUUUCAUUAAGAAUAGGAUCACAAUUACGGUUAACACACACAUGUUCCAGAAACACUUCCACGUGCUUUACCUGUAGUAACUGUUUUAAAUUCUCAGGUGAGGAAUUUGACCACCCUCAUUUAACUAGCAAGUGGCAGAGUCAGAACUUGAGCAAAACAUUUUGGCUCUGCAGUCUGUGCUUUGAACCUUAAGGCUGUACUGACCAGGUUGCCUUAUCACACUCUUCUGCAACACCAUUUUUAGGUACUACUCAGCAUUCCAUUGCUUGGAUAAAUAAUAAUUACUUCAUAAAUCUCCUAUGAGUGGACAUCUAGCCCAUUGGUAUUUUCUCCCUACUAAGCAAUGUUAAGCUCUACCACCCUGAAAGCGCCCGAUCCCAUCCAAGCAAUGUUGAGCUGAAUCUAAUUAGAGCCCAUUUUUGUGCCAUCUGAUGAUCUCCCUAAAUUAAGGAUGUGCAUUUUUACCAUGGCUACUUAGAGGUGUUAUGUAGCACUCCCCACCCUCCUGCAUUUAGGGCAGGCCUCAAACAAGGCUGCAGCUCCAUCUUGCUUUGACAUUUCUCCACUGGCACCCACCAAGGUGUUACAUUUCCUGUCUUGAGGUUUCACAUCCUGCCCCUUAAACCACCCACAGUGCUCCACCCUUUGGGGUUUCGUAGGAAACAUCUCACACAAACACUCACUGAGCCAUGUGUCUCAGGCCAACAAACUUCUAAUCUAGCAGUGGGGGAAUACAGGGGUAACAAAUUACGUCAAUUACAAGUUGAUAUCACUAACUGAUGCUGGCUGGAAGCAUUUCUCAGCUUUCCUGGCACUGCCACUUUUAUCUCCUUUCAAUGACUCUCCAUUUCCUGACCUUACACUGUCCUUUUUCUUAGGUUGAACCACAAGGACCUGCUGACCUACAAAACCACUUGACCUACAAAAAUGGAAAUUUCACCUGGUUCCAUCUAACAAGGCUGAGAUGUUUAUUUCCCCAGUGGAGAACAUGGCAACAAUUUGUCAUGCUGGGAAGCUAUUCAAACAUCUGUUAAACCUUUCCUAUAUUGAGGGACAUGUCCACCUUUUAAAUCCUGGUUUCCAGAGCAUUAUGCCAGAAACUCACUUUCCCAGACUUCCUUGAGACUAAAAUAAAUGAAUGUGCCCCUGUUUCCUCCAGUCAGAUGCAAGAUUUUUGAUGCAGCGGAGAACAACAGGAAGAGCUAUUCUGCCUUUGAAGAGAGGUGGGGGCUGAAAUGGGGAGAAAAAUCUAGGGUGCUUUAAAGCUCUAUUUCCUCACCAGGAUGGCUGAUUAUAUGAAAGCUUGCUAUGUAAUAAUUCUUUUAGAUUUUGUGCAUUUUUUGCAUGGGUGCUAUUCUUUCUUUCUUUCUUUCUUUUUGUCUUUUUAUAUUUUUAGAGCCGCACCAGCAGCACAUGGAGAUUCCCAGGCUAGGGGUCUAAUCGGAGCUAUAUCCUCCGGACUAUACCAUAGCUCACAGCAAUGCCGGAUCCUUAACCCACUGAGUGAGGCCAGGGAUUGAACCCACAACCUCAUGGUUCCUAGUCAGAUUCGUUUCUGCUACACCAUGAUGGGAACUCCCUGCAUGGGUGCUAUUCUUUUUUUAAAAAAAAUUUUAUUAUAGUGGAUUUACAAUGUUGUGUCAAUUUCUGCUGUACAGCAAAGUAACCCAAUUACACAUAUAUACAUAUACAUUCUUAUUUUCACAUUAUCAUCCACCAUGUUCUAUCACAAGUGAUCAGAUAUACUUCCUUGGGCUAUACAGCAGAAUCUCAUUGCUUAUCCAUUCCAAAUGCAACCCAUGUUCAUUGCAGUACUAUUCACAAUAGCCAAGAUGUGGAAACAACCGAAAUGUCCAUUGACAUGAAAAAAUUAAGAAGAUGUGGUCCAUGUAUACAAUGGAAUACUACUCAGCCAUAAAAAAGAAUGAAAUAACAGCAUUUGCAACAACAUGGUUGCAACUAGAGAUUCUCAUACUAAGUGAAAGAAGUCAGAAAGAGAAGGACAAAUAUCAUAGGAUAUCACUUUUAUGUGGAAUCUAAAAUAUGGCACAAACGAACCUAUCUACAAAGGAGAAACAGACUCACAGACACAGAGAACAGACUUGUGGUUGCCAAGGGGGAGGGGGAUGGGGAGGAAGUGGAAUGGACUGGGGGUUUGGGGUUAAAAAAUGCAAACUGUUACAUUUAGAAUGGAUAAGCUAUGAGGUCCUGCUGUGUAGCACAGGGAACUAUAUCCAAUCACUUGUGAUAGAACAUGAUGAAAGGUAAUAUGAGAACAAGAAUGUAGGAGUUCCUGUUGUGGCACAGUGGAAAUGAAUCCAACUAGUAUCCAUAAAGAUGAGGAUCAGUGGGUCAGGGAUCUGGUGUUGCCAUGAGCUAUGGUGCAGGUCUCAGACACAGCUCGGAUCCUGAGUUGCUGUGGCUGUAGCAUAGGACUAUAGCUGUAGCUUUGAUUUGACCCCUAGCCUGGGAAUUUCCAUAUGCCAAAGGUGUGGCCCUAAAAAGCAAAAAUAAUAAUAACAAUGUGUGUGUGUGUUUUAUAUAUAUAUAUAUAUAUAUGACUUGGUCAUUAUGCUACACAGCAGAAAUUAGCACAGCACUGUAAAUCAACUACACUUUAACCAAAAAAAUUUUUAAAAGACUGGUUGGGACCCCUGACACUCCAACCUGGCAUGCACAGGUAUUCACUCAGUGACCUUUUGAAAUGACAAGGCCAAAAACUGCAUCCUCAGAUUGUGCUAAAUGCCUCCAUUUUUUAACAUAUGGAGGCCUGUAGUGUAGUUACAUGUGCGUGGAACACAAGUACCAUAGCUUUUCUCAAUUACCUUUUCUCACACUCCCUGUGCCUCAGACUGUCCUGCUUUCUUUUUUCCCCAGGCCCUGGCCUCCAGGGAGGCAGAUGUGAGAUUUGUUCUCCCAUCUCCAUGGUUGGCUGCCUGGUGAAUAAAUGCUUUCUUUGCUGCAAACCCUGGUGGCUCAGAGCUUUGGCCUUCAAAACUUAGUUUGCUAACACUCUAAUCGACUAUUUUUACCUCCUCUGAAAAUCAUAAAUUUUCCUACAUUAAUCCCCACUAUUUUUCCUUCCCUCACUGCACCCCAGAAAAUACAUGUGGACACACCAUCACCACCGCAACCCAGGAUACCCAGGAAUGUGUAAAAGUUGUGACACACUCAAGUGUCACUGGAAGGUAACCUUCCCGGGCAGAGAUGUUUGUCUCGUGUUCAGUUGCUCCAUCACAGCAUCUAGAAUGGUGCCCAGCGCAUAUUAAGUACCCAGUCGAAAUCUGUAAAAUGAGCAAGUACCCUGCCCUCAAAUGCUUUUGUCUGUUUGUUCAUCCAUCAAAGAACCAGUGCUUUUGGAGAGUGACAUGCUGGCAAAGGCUCUGGGCUGCGUGUAGGGGAUGUCAACGUGCUUAAGGCACAGGUCUGCCCAUGAACAAUUCGGAAUGAAUCGCUUACUCCAGAAAUAUUGCUACCAACCCUCAGAAUAUAUUUUGUCAUCUCUAUAAGCCCACCUGGAACUUCUCUUAAUGAAGAUGAGGGACAGUGCAGGUAGGAGGGGUGGUGUUUUGUUUAGUUUAGUUUUGUUUUAAUCAAGAAGGAAUGGGAGUUCCUGUCGUGGCGCAGUGGUUAACGAAUCCGACUAGGAACCAUGAGGUCGCAGGUUCGGUCCCUGCCCUUGCUCGGUGGGUUAACGAUCCAGCGUUGCUAUGGCUCUGGCGUAGGCCGGUGGCUACAGCUCCGAUUAGACCCCUAGCCUGGGAACCUCCAUAUGCCAAGGGAGCAGCCCUAGAAAAGUCAAAAAGACAAAAAAAAAAAAAAAGAAGGAAUGAAGGAAUGUCUUCCCUCCAUUGAUCUCAGUUUCAGGCCAGACAGGAAGGAAGUAGCAAUAAUGCAGGAUGGUGGAUGAGAUAGUCAGGAAUGUACCCAUGUGUUUGGUCUAUGCUAGUGCCUUGACUCAAUGGUUGCGAACCAACUUUGACUAUGAGUAAGGCAAUAUCAGGGGCAGGGGGUGACCAGUAAUCAGACCUUUUCACACUCGCCAGUGGCUUUUCUGCCUGCUGUAUGAUCUGGCCUCUAUAUGGUCCUCACCCCUGUAUGAUUUGGCCUUGCCUGCAUCUCUGACCACCCUCAGACCUCCUCCUCACCAACUCUAUGCCCUCCAACAUUAAGCUUGUCCCACCUGUGGUCCAUUCUUCAAUCAGUCCCUCUUCUAGAAUGUUCUCUCCACUGAUGUUGUUUUUAUUGGUUCCUUUUGUAUCAUUGAAAAUCAACUUAAAUGAGUUCCCUUGGCCACCCAAACAAAGGUAGUCCUUUCACCAUUUCUUUCCGUGUGUGGCAAUUUGGGAUGUUUUCAUAUCUGGCAUUUUUCUUGUGUUUAUCGUUCAUCCUCCAUCUUCUUCCCUUCUCCCUUAUUUCCUUCCUUCUCUCUCUCUCUUUUUGUCUACCUUCUCCACUAGAUUCUUAGCUCCAUGAAAACAAAAGCUUUUUGGAUCCAAUUCACUGGAGUCCAAGACAAUGCUUCACAUGCAACAGAUACACAAUACACAUUUGCUUAAAGGAAACAUUUAUCUAGAUCUUUGAAAGCUGAGGCUGACAUCACUCCCUUCCAGGAUAGACUAUUACAUGCCAUGUGUUGAGCAAUUUUGGCAGAAUUUUCACAGUCUCAUGGAAACCACAUGUAAGGUAAAAUCUAAGCUUCCUGAGAAAAGUAUGUAUUGAUAUUAUGAUCUGGGCCAUCACUGGCUAACGGAAUGUGAAAAUAAGUGGCCCAUAUAAGGUAAUGGCUAAAAUUCAAGGUGACUAAGAAAUAAGUCAGCAUUACAUUAUUCGGAGCAUUGAAUAUAUCCUUUGUUAAUGUGAAAAUUUUUAAAGUUUGAUGUCCUUCAGACACAGCUCAGGGAACAAUCAUCAAAUAAACAUGCUCCCCUUUCUAAAUGUUCUCCCACACUCUGCUGCACUUAACCCUCAUAGCAGUCCUCGAGAAGGGCCUAUUCCUCAUCACCAUUUUGCAGAUGAAAAAACUAAGCUUAGUGAAAUCAAGCAAUUUGCUCAAAGAUACAGAGCCAAGCCUACCUUCAGAGCAAUUAGGAAUUGUUACCAGGGUUAGAAAUGAGCAACAAGGAGUUCCCAUUGUGGCUCAGUGGGUUAAGAACCCAACGUGGUGAUCAUGAGGAUAUGGGUCUGCAGCUUUGAUUUGACCCCAAGCCCAGGAACUUCCAUAUGCCACAGGUAAGGUUGUAAAAGAAAAAAAGAUAGAAAGAAAUAAAUGAGCAAGAAUAAUAAAGCAUGUGGGUUAAGAGGAAUCCUUGAGACAUUUUUUUUAAUUGCUUUUUUUUUUUUUUGGUUUACAGCACAACUCCAGAAAAAAAUUCUAAGCCACUCCAAGGUCAGAAGACGAUGACUCUGUUCCCAGCUCUGCAGCCAACCAGCUGUGCAGCUAUGACAGUGAAUGAGUCUUUCGAGAUUAUAGAUGAGAAAGACCACAGACGGUAUGAAAGAGUCUAUUUGGCUCAAGAUAUUUUUCAGCAAAAUGCUCAGACUCUAAAAGCUCCUGGUGCAUUCCUGGUUGCUUUUAAAACAUCAGCCUAAUCAAACCAACAGCAGCUAAGUGAGAGAGAAAAAGAGUCUGAGAUACUUACAAGAUGAUUUGGCAAUAAAUAACAGAAAAGACCUAGAAGAAUAUUAUUCUGCUGUUAAAGUUAUUCUGAGGCCAUUUUGCACAGAAUUUUUUAAACAUUAGGUAAUUUUUUAAACAUUCACAUAUAGUUAUAAAAGCAUUGGGUAGAAAGAAUUCACAUUCUAAUUGUUUCCAAAGUGUCAUGUUCAACAUUGGGUAGGACACACAAAAGAUGCCAAGAGAGCAUUUGCCUUGCCAGUGAGAUUAGUAGAACCAACACAGGAAACCAUCCAUCCAAAGAGUCAUCCCAAUCAUCACAAUAAUGAAUUAAUAACUUGAAAGUUUAUAUUUUCUGAAAGCUUCUGCUUAAGUCAGAGAGUCAUCAGAGCUUUAUUUCCAGAACAAUGGAACAGGGAACUUUGUUUUCCUUCUGGCCAGGCUAAAUGGGGCGGUUCUCAGGAUCUUAGAUUCACAGAUUAUUUUUAUGAGGGCUUAAGAAAGAGAAACAAGGAGUUCCCAUUGUGGCACAGUGGUUAACGAAUCUGACUAGGAACCAUGAGGUAGCGGGUUCAAUCCCUGCCCUUGCUCAGUGGGUUGACAAUCUGGUAUUGCCGUGAGCUGUGGUGUAGGCUGCAGACGUGGCUCGGAUCCCGCGUUGCUCUGGCGUAGGCCAGCAGCUAUAGCUCCGAUUAGACCCC